AGACGCCCUCACCGAAACCAACACUACGUUGCUGUGUUGUUUUCUUCUAAGGUCGGGCACAGUAAAGGAGACGACUCUGUAUCAAGGCACUACCCAGAGGGAGGAUGUUGGCCUUCUCCUGAUGGGAAAAUGUCUUCUUUCUCAUGGCGUGGCCAGGACUGCACUGACCCUACCAUCCACUCUACCUCUCCGGAAAGGGACUUGACAACCAGUCAAGAUGGAUGUGCAGAGAUAUACCAGCGCUUCUAGCAUUAACUGCCAGUUUGCACUGACGCAGCAAGACUCCCCAACAGUCAAAAAGAAUAAUAUAGACGUGCAGAAAAUGUAGGAGAGCGAUGACAUCAGAAGGACACUCUCAGGUUCAGGGUACAGUGGUCCCUCUAUAAUCCGGCACCAUUUGUGCCACGAAAAUCUGCUGGAUUAGGGAGGGUGCUGGAUUAACAAAUCUGAUCUACUGCUGCAAUGUGCAUGAAGAGGACAUUUGGCUACUGAAAAUUGUGCCGGUUUAUCGAGGGUGCUGGAUUAUAAAGUGCCGGAUUAGAGAGGGACGACUGUACCUGUACUGCCCCAAUAAAGUGGGUCAGAUCCCAAAACGAGAUUGGCCGAAGCAAAAAAAAUAGAAGAGCCUGCCUUGAAUCGAAUAUGAGGAAGAAGAAGAAGAAGACAAAGAAAGAGAAAGAGUAGGAAUUUGUUUGUGUAAACUUUGUUUCCUCUGUCUAGGCCAUCGCAUUAUAGCAGCCAACAGUGUGUGUGUGUGUGUGUGUGUGUGUGUGUGUGUGUGUGUGUGUGUGUGUGUGCGCGCGUAUGUGUGUGUGU
This is a long non-coding RNA of Sycon ciliatum, 816 nucleotides long. RefSeq lists it as uncharacterized. The record is from RefSeq and is a predicted model, not a curated record. Lineage: Eukaryota; Metazoa; Porifera; Calcarea; Leucosolenida; Sycettidae. The transcript is spliced from 4 exons.